GACGAACGCUGGCGGCGUGCUUAACACAUGCAAGUCGAACGGAAAGGCCUGCUUUCCCUUGUGGAUUGCGGGUACUCGAGUGGCGAACGGGUGAGUAACACGUGAGUGAUCUGCCCCCAACUUGGGUAUAAGCCUGGGAAACUGGGUCUAAUUCCCGAUAGGACUGCAGGGUGGUGCCUGUGGUGGAAAACGAUUUUCUAGUGGUUGGGGAUGAGCUCGCGGCCUAUCAGCUUGUUGGUGGGGUAAUGGCCUACCAAGGCGGCGACGGGUAGCCGGCCUGAGAGGGUGGACGGCCACAUUGGGACUGAGAUACGGACCAGACUACUACGGGAGGCAGCAGUGGGGAAUAUUGCACAAAGGGCGGAAGCCUGAUGCAGCGACGCCGCGUGGGGGAUGACGGCCUUCGGGUUGUAAACUCCUUUCGACCGCGAGGAAGCCACCUGGUUGGAAGGGUGGUGACGGUAGUGGUAGAAGAAGCACCGGCUAACUACGU
This 493-nucleotide ribosomal RNA is filed under the name uncultured bacterium. RNAcentral describes it as "partial 16S ribosomal RNA". It matches the Rfam family "Bacterial small subunit ribosomal RNA", at positions 28 to 506 of the family's 1533-position model. The record is from RNAcentral.